RNAcentral lists this transfer RNA (72 nucleotides) under Bos taurus (domestic cattle). It matches the Rfam family "tRNA". From Rfam's summary of the family: Transfer RNA (tRNA) molecules are approximately 80 nucleotides in length. Their secondary structure includes four short double-helical elements and three loops (D, anti-codon, and T loops). Lineage: Eukaryota; Metazoa; Chordata; Mammalia; Artiodactyla; Bovidae. The record is from Rfam by way of RNAcentral. RNAcentral also lists the same sequence under 3 other names.
UCUCUUGUGGCUCAGAUGGUAAAGAACCUGCCUGUAAUGCAGGAGACCCAGGUUCAAUCCCUGAGUUGGGAA